GCAACCUACACCACAGCUCACAGCAACGCCGGAUCCUUAACCCACUGAGCAAGGGCAGGGACCAAACCCGCAACCUCAUGGUUCCUAGUCGGAUUCGUUAACCACUGCGCCACGACGGGAACUCCCCAGGUAUGCAGUUUAGGGUCUUGGGCAAGCUAACCACUCUGACCCUCAGUCUCUUCAUCGGCAAACUUGGAAUAAUUCCCACCUCCUGAAGGACCUUGAAGAUCAUCUGAGAUGAGGCAUAUUUCCAAGCCCCCAGGACAGCCUGGCCAUGACUGACCUUUAUCCCAAACAUAGCCUUGGGCAACCCCCCACCCCCAGAUCCCCUUCCCCCCCAACUCCUCAGAUCUGCUUCUUCCUGUCAGCAGUUUCCUGGCCUCUUCACUUCAGGGAGAGGGUGCGGGAAGGCGCACCCCCAAGCUUGUCUCCCCAGAAGGUGGCCUGGUUCAGAACACAGAGAGGCUGGGAGCCCUUAAUCUGGGGAUCCCCACAGCAGAGGCAGCAGAGGACCUGAGCUCCUGUUUCACCCUUCACAACCAGAGAGAGGCCACAGGCCUUUCUCCACCUGGCACCUCUGAGUUAGAAGGGAUCUUGGCAGAGCCCUGAUCUGGUCUGUUCCCGCCUGGUUGCCCGAGGUGCCUUUGGCGAGGGAGCCGAGCCGACCCCUUUGGCGGAAUCCAUGGGAUGCACCUGCCCUCUAGUGGUGAGAGAGGGAAAGACACGGACAGCCUGGGCUCAGCCUGCUUGUCUGCGGCCAGACCUCAGUUACUGCGGGUGACCGUGUGCGGUCACCUGGACACUCGGCAGCCCCACCGCAGCCCAAACUAACUGACACAUGGAGGUCAUUCCCUGGAUACACUCCAGGCCCCAGAUGUGCGGUUUCAUUCAUCUAUUCAUUUGUUGAUUCAGCAAGUAUCCACCGAGUGUCUGCAACGUGUGUGUGAUGGGGUGGGUUCUAGGCAGCAGGGUCUCAACAGCGAUCAACUGGCAAGUCCACCCACUCACAGGGUUUCCAUUCUAAUGAGUGUGGUGUUUGUCGGGCAUGGGUGGGGGUCUUCUCAACCUCCUCUGUCUUAGAAUCAAGACAUCCGAGGACACCAGCCAGGUGGGGGUGUUCACCAAAGCAUCCUCUUCCUGGUGUCUCAGUACGUACCUGGACCUCUUUUAUGGUGGCUUUUAAUAAUGUGCAAUUCAGAAGUUUUAGAAUAUUCAGAGCUAUCUGUGGUGUAGGUCACAGACGCGGCUCAGAUCCCGCGUUGCUGUGGCUCUGGUGUAGGCAGGGGGCUACAGGUCCGAUUUGACCCCUAGCCUGGGAACCUCCAUAUGCUGCGGGAGCGGCCCUAGAAAAAGGCAAAAAGACAAAAAAAAAAAAAAGUGACAAAAUCAGGGAUUGAGGAAGAUUACUGGGGAGGCCUGCAAAGAUGAGAUGCGCAGGGAGGCAGAAAUGGGGUAUGAUGGACUCUGGCGCUUCCUUCUGCUAAUGGAAGAGAAAUGUCAAGGUCACCCAGGACAUCCUUAUGCGAGGGCUAAACCUGACCUCUGUCUGCAGCGCUGACCAUGAAGCCAUAAAACCACAGGCUGAAAAGAGCUCUUGUUCCGGGAGGUGGGAGAGAGCCCCAGCGUGGUUUCAACAUCGUCUCCUAGUUCUCCCUGAAGCUCUGUUGAGAAGCACAUACCGCCCUCCUUCCUGGAAUGUGCGUGACUGGUCGCUGCCCUGGCACAGCCAUCUGCCAAAUCCUGUUGUUCAGGAAGUGAAUGAUGCCCUUGUCCUCGUUGGUAAUGGCCCGUGUUGUACAAAGGCCCUUUGCUGCAUGUGGGGGGCGGGCAGGGGUGCCCUGUCCAGGCACCUGUGAGCCACACUGACAAUGAGCUCUCUCAGCCCAGCCAGGGCGGGAGCCCUGGGGUGCAGCCUGUCCCUGCUCAUCCAGUGCUGCCUCCAAGCAGGAGCAUCCAGGGACAAAGCCACAAAGAGGCCAGGGAGCAGAGGAGCAGGGGCUGUGUCCUCUGCAGGCAGGGGGGGCGGGCAGAGGGGCUGUGCUGACACAUCAGGCUUCCUUAGAUUUGGGCAGGGCUCGCCAGCUGUCGGACAGGCACCUCCAUCCACACAGGGGCAUCCUCCCCGCUCCCGACCCCCCUCCCUCCGCACCACCACACUUUCAUCCCCGCCCUCCCCGUUCCUGGUGGUGGCUGUCCAGUUGAGCCCUGCUUUCCUCUGAUCCCCUCGUCCUUGCACUUGAGUUUCUCAAGGAGAGGAAGGGAGAGUGAGAGAAAGGAAAGCAAACAGAAACGGGUGUAGUUGGGGCCAGGAGGGCUGAUGAAGGCAAAUACAGACAAAAAUGUGGAAAUUUCCUGGGGGUAUGUUGUCAUCAGCACACAUGUGUGGGCAGACUGCCUGGGAUUGAGUCCUGGCCUUGCUAUUUAGGAGCUGUGUGAUCCAGGAUAAGUUGCUUAACCUCUCUGUGCCUCAGUUUCCUCAGUAAAAACGGUGGUUGAUAGUACGUAGCUCCUGGGUUGUGAGGGUGACAUUGUGAGGGAGUGUAUUUGGUUUUAGAACAGAGGGUGGCUCACACCAAUGACCUAACAUGGUAGCUGUUUUGUGCCAGUGUUUGUGUACUAUUCUCACGAUGGUACCCACACAAGUCCCAGCUGUCACCUACACAAGCCCCGGCUCUCUGCCCUGAGCAGGCAUCCUGCUCACCUCACAGCCCCAGAGGCUGCUUUGUUCCCUGUUGGGGGACAGCCAGGACCCUGGGAGGCUGGGGGUAAUAACUGGGUGAGGGGUUUAUACCCUCUGUUGUUUUGCUUGGGGCAGAAGGAAUUGAUGACAUCCAGUCAUGA
This 2841-nucleotide long non-coding RNA is filed under the name Sus scrofa (pig). RNAcentral describes it as "lncRNA (ENSSSCG00035003693.1)". The record is from RNAcentral. Lineage: Eukaryota; Metazoa; Chordata; Mammalia; Artiodactyla; Suidae.